Molecule: ribosomal RNA, 306 nt
Filed under: uncultured Peredibacter sp.
Lineage: Bacteria; Pseudomonadati; Bdellovibrionota; Bacteriovoracia; Bacteriovoracales; Bacteriovoracaceae
Description: bacterial SSU rRNA
Rfam family: Bacterial small subunit ribosomal RNA
Source: RNAcentral
GAGAGGUGCUGCAUGGCUGUCGUCAGCUCGUGUUGUGAAAUGUUGGGUUAAGUCUCGCAACGAGCGCAACCCCUAUCGUCUGUUGCCAGCAUUAAGUUGGGCACUCUGACGAGACUGCCUGGGUUAACCAGGAGGAAGGUGGGGAUGACGUCAAGUCCUCAUGGCCCUUAUGUCUAGGGCUACACACGUAAUACAAUGGCGCGUACAGAGGGAAGCGAACCAGCAAUGGGGAGCAAAUCUCAAAAAGCGCGUCUCAGUCCGGAUUGAAGUCUGCAACUCGACUUCAUGAAGUUGGAAUCGCUAGUA